This 1332-nucleotide ribosomal RNA is filed under the name Triticum aestivum (bread wheat). Its description in RNAcentral is "partial small subunit ribosomal RNA". The record is from RNAcentral. Lineage: Eukaryota; Viridiplantae; Streptophyta; Magnoliopsida; Poales; Poaceae.
AUGUCCACCGUCGAGAUGGAGGUGUUCUCCAACGGGCAGCUCCUCGUCCUGACCGUGCUCAUGCUCGUCGGCGGUGAGGUGUUUUUAUCCCUCAUAGGCCUCGCGUCCAAGUGGUCCAAGCUGAGGAAGCAGGCUGCACACAAAUCCCGGCGCGUGGAGAUCCACCACGUCGCCGAGCUUGAGAUGCCGCCAGCCGCCGCCGCUGACAUCGAUAACCCAACGUCUACCGCCGAUGAUGAGACGAGCAAGUCGCUGGAGCACGUACAUGACACGAGGCUGCGGCGCGACGCGGUGCGGUCGCUGUUCUUCGUCGUCCUCGCCAUCCUCCUGGCGGUGCACGUCCUCGGUGCCGGCGCCAUCGUGGCGUACAUCGUGCACGCGUCGCCGGCGGCGAGGCGGACGCUGCGGGACAAGGCUCUGAACGUGUGGACCUUCGCCGUGUUCACGACGGUGUCCACGUUCUCGAGCUGCGGGUACAUGCCGACGAACGAGAACAUGAUCGUCUUCAAGCAGGACACCGGGCUGCAGCUGCUGCUCGUGCCGCAGGCGCUGGUCGGGAACACGCUGUUCCCGCCGCUGCUAGCCGCGUGCGUGCGCACCGCCGCCGCCGCGACCAGGCGCGUGGAGCUCAGGGAGACGGUGAAACAGGGCGGGGAGCUGACAGGGUACUACCACCUGCUCCCGGCGCGGCGGUGCGCGAUGCUGGCGGCGACGGUGGUGGGCUUCCUCGCCGUGCAGGUGGCUAUGCUGUGCGGCAUGGAGUGGGGCGGCGCGCUGCGCGGGAUGAGCCCGUGGGAGAAGGUGUCGAACGCGGUGUUCCUGGCGGUGAACUCCCGGCACACCGGCGAGUCGACCCUCGACCUCUCCACCCUCGCGCCGGCCAUCCUCGUGCUCUUCGUGCUCAUGAUGUAUCUGCCUCCAUACACGACAUGGCUUCCAUUUGGAGAGAGCUCCAGCGUGAAGGACCAUCCCAGGGAGGAGACCCAGGGGGUGAGGCUGCUCAAGAGCACGCUUCUGUCACAACUCUCAUACCUCGCCAUCUUUGUCAUCGCCAUCUGCGUCACCGAGAGGGAAAAGCUCAAGGAGGACCCCCUCAACUUCAACUUGCUCAGCAUCGUCGUCGAAGUCGUCAGCGCUUAUGGAAACGUGGGAUUCUCCAUGGGCUACAGCUGCAGUAGGCAGAUCAGCCCGGACGGGAUGUGCACUGACAGGUGGACCGGCUUUGCUGGGAGGUGGAGCGAUUCCGGCAAACUCAUCCUCAUUCUUGUCAUGCUCUUCGGGAGGAUGAAAAAGUUCAGCAUGAAAGCGGGCAAAUCCUGGAAGCUUAGUUAG